CCCUUAGAUGUCCGGGGCUGCACGCGCGCUACACUGAAUGAAUCAGCGUGCUAGAAAACCUUGUUUGACAUGGCUAGGUAACCCAUUGAAAAUCAUUCGUGAUUGGGAUCGGGACUUGCAAAUGUGUCCCUUGAACGAGGAAUUCCCAGUAAGUGCGGGUCAUCAGCUCGCGUUGAUUACGUCCCUGCCCUUUGUACACACCGCCCGUCGCUCCUACCGAUUGAAUGUGUUGGUGAGGAGCUCGGAUUGGCAGCAGUUGGUGGUUCGCCACCGGCUAUUGCUGAGAAGUCCUCCAAACCGCCCCAUUUAGAGGAAGGAGAAGUCGUAACA
This 330-nucleotide ribosomal RNA is filed under the name uncultured eukaryote. Its description in RNAcentral is "partial 18S ribosomal RNA". It matches the Rfam family "Eukaryotic small subunit ribosomal RNA", at positions 1470 to 1796 of the family's 1831-position model. The record is from RNAcentral.